This 459-nucleotide ribosomal RNA is filed under the name uncultured bacterium. RNAcentral's name for it is "partial 16S ribosomal RNA". It matches the Rfam family "Bacterial small subunit ribosomal RNA", at positions 338 to 795 of the family's 1533-position model. The record is from RNAcentral.
CCUACGGGUGGCAGCAGUGAGGAAUAUUGGUCAAUGGCCGGAAGACUGAACCAGCCAAGCCGCGUGAAGGACGAAGGUACCGAGUAUCGUAAACCUCUUUUGUCAAGGAACAAAAACAGGGUCGCGAGCCUGACCGAGGGUACUUGAAGAAAAAGCAUCGGCUAACUCCGUGCCAGCAGCCGCGGUAAUACGGAGGAUGCGAGGUUUAUCCGGAUUUAUUGGGUUUAAAGGGUGCGAAGGCGGACUGUUAAGUCAGCGGUAAAAGCCCGGGGCUCAACCCCGGCGAGCCGUUGAAACUGGCUGUCUUGAGAUGUAGAGAGGUAUGCGGAAUGCGCAGUGUAGCGGUGAAAUGCUUAGAUAUUGCGCAGAACUCCGAUUGCGAAGGCAGCAUACCGGCUGCAAACUGACGCUGAGGCGCGAAAGCGUGGGUAUCAAACAGGAUUAGAUACCCGAGUAGUC